Drosophila gunungcola (fruit fly) is the source of this 395-nucleotide long non-coding RNA. RefSeq lists it as uncharacterized. The transcript is spliced from 3 exons. Lineage: Eukaryota; Metazoa; Arthropoda; Insecta; Diptera; Drosophilidae. The record is from RefSeq and is a predicted model, not a curated record.
UAAGAGAUCCGAGUCGCAGCGUAAAAAAAAUGAAAAGAGAAUCGCCCAAAAAGCUGACGGACGCUUUUUAAGAAAUGUGAAUGCAGGGUGUGCUGCCGUACUUGCAGGAAAAUUACCAAGGUCAGCGCACGCCAAAACGAAAACGAGACCAAUUUUGUGCUUCACUAGGACUUUUAUUUUAUCGAAGGUGAAAAGUACAAGAAGCCGGGAGGAAAGCUGUACUCAAAGUACAAAACAAGCGACAUCGACAUUUUCGACACUGCUCUUUUGCAUUUAUAUCCUCUAAAUAAUGAUAAAACUCUUGCUGGUAUAAAAUAUGUAUAAGCUUUUUAAGACACAUUGUUCUAAUGUAAGUCAAAAAAUACAAUACAAAAUUUUAUAUAUUAAGAACUGAA